GAUGAACUUCAGAGUAUAUUAAAUUAUUUACUUACAAUGCAUGAGGAUGAAAACAUUCAUGAUGUCUUACAAUUGUUAGUGGCCCUAAUGUCAGAACACCCCGCCUCAAUGAUACCAGCAUUUGAUCAGAGAAAUGGAAUAAGGGUGAUCUACAAAUUGUUGGCUUCUAAAAGUGAAAGUAUCUGGGUCCAAGCGCUGAAAGUUCUGGGAUAUUUUUUGAAGCAUUUAGGUCAUAAGCGAAAAGUUGAAAUUAUGCAUACGCAUAGUCUCUUUACUCUUCUUGGAGAAAGGCUGAUGCUGCAUACAAACACUGUGACUGUCACUACAUACAACACACUUUAUGAGAUCCUGACGGAGCAAGUCUGUACUCAAGUUGUGCAUAAACCACAUCCAGAGCCAGACUCUACAGUGAAAAUUCAGAACCCAAUGAUUCUUAAGGUGGUGGCAACCUUGUUAAAGAAUUCAACACCAAGUGCAGAAUUGAUGGAAGUUCGUCGGUUGUUCUUAUCUGACAUGAUUAAACUUUUCAGUAAUAGCCGUGAAAAUAGAAGAUGCUUAUUGCAGUGUUCCGUGUGGCAGGAUUGGAUGUUUUCUCUUGG
RNAcentral lists this long non-coding RNA (599 nucleotides) under Rattus norvegicus (Norway rat). RNAcentral describes it as "long non-coding RNA NONRATT016410". The record is from RNAcentral. Lineage: Eukaryota; Metazoa; Chordata; Mammalia; Rodentia; Muridae.